This is a long non-coding RNA of Athalia rosae (coleseed sawfly), 4158 nucleotides long. RefSeq lists it as uncharacterized. The record is from RefSeq and is a predicted model, not a curated record. The transcript has 3 exons. Lineage: Eukaryota; Metazoa; Arthropoda; Insecta; Hymenoptera; Athaliidae.
GUGACUAAACGACUACAUGUUUACUUCCUUCAUACAUGAGAAUGACAUGUCUAGUUUUGCUAUAAUAUCCGACCAGCUACGGGGUGUUCAAUUUAUAUAUAGUAAAAUGGAGUGUAUAUACAUAUAAUAACGUCGAUUUCAUUACCCUCCGACAUUCGCGUUUCGCGACCGCUAUGCGAAGAAAAACAUAUUUCCUCAAAUCGUUACGUCACUCGCUCGGAUCAUGGAUCUUAUGUCGUAUAGCUAUACAUAUAUUAUCAUAAAACACGUUAUAUGGCCGGCAUAAUAUUACACAUCAUAUACAUAGUACGUACCAUAGUACUACGCUACAUCGAUUCAAAAAUUAUACAGCUGUUUAAUUCGUUCGAGUCUGUUAAUCAAAGUAGAAUAUCUAUAUGGGCGUAUAUAUAAAUAUUCAUAAAAGUUAGCUGUCCUUGCGUCGUCAUAAAGGAACUCGAGGGUUUAUAAAACUAUCUGCUGCAUAAUCUGAAGUAUAUACAUGUGCAUUGUACAUACCUAUGUGUAUCUAUAAUAUGACGCGGUACAAUUCAAUCUACAGAUAAUUAUCAAUACAAAAAUAUAUUCUGCAUUGGAUUUAUAACGUGAGAUUUUCAAGAGCUCAAAUUCAAACUUCCUGCAAGAGUUCUUAACGAAUUUAAUUCUUUGACAUUUAAUUUCGAAAGCGGAAAAAAAAAAACAGGAACAGAACAUAAAGUAAAAAUGGUCGUUUAAAUAGAAGAGUUCUGAAGUCACCUUUAUAAUUGAUUCUGAUCAUGCCACGUGCGGUUGUGGGAAACAAAAAAAAAUAAAAACAAUCAAAAAAAAACUAGUCGUAUAUGCAAAUAUAAGAACUGGAUCGGAAAUAUAUGCGCGGAUUAGCCUGAUAUAAAUUAAAAUACGCCCCCCGCGAUGCAUAUAACAAUGGAUAUAUACGAGUUCUUCGAAUAUAUGUGACACAUAUGCGAGUGAUCGUAGGUGUAUAUAUAGCUGGUUUUAGCCCACAUUCGACAUGACGAAUCGCAAACGAUAUAUUUGCCCUCUCUUCGCGAACAUUUCCUUACGACGUUAUAUUUGUCGCGUCCCAUAGAAUUGAUCGGGAAAUAAAGUUGAAACGUGUGUAGAUCGUGUAACAAUGACAAAUUACAGGAUCAUAAAAUUUGGAUCACGAUACGACCCGCAUACUCAAAUUGCGUGUACAGCCGCAUAAAAAUUAUCUGGCUCUAUAAAGUAUCGUUCGCUCUCAAAACAAAGGGGCGGGGGGAAAAAAGAAUCGCGGUCAGUUGAAGAGUAUAAAGAUUUGAAAUUAAAAAAUGGCCGCGUCUCGCCUCGAAGGUCUAACAAAUGUUUUUUUAUUUCGAUCCCAUCGGCUCGUAGCAUUCUUGGCGCGAAAUUUGUCCGCGACCAUCCCGUCGUCCUCGUCGUCGCGACGCUGUGCAGCUCGCAGUGCUACGCUCGGGAGUGCAAAAAUUUUACAAGGACGGACUUGCGCACCUUCGUCUCUGGGUUGCGAGGUAUAUCCUAUACUCCUGCCGAAGGAUCGUCGGCACGCAAACACAUAGGUGUAGGGCAAAUAUACGUAUACGUACAUACGUGGAACGUACACAUCGACGAGGAGUUUCUCUCGUGCGCUGCAAGUUUACCGGACGAAUCUCCCUCGCUUACCCUUGAACCCACCAGACACUCGAUCCCGCAUCUCAAGAACAGCUAUAUGUAUACAUAUACGUGCACGUAUACCUGUAUAUUAUGUAUCCUACACGUGUAUACGGAUACGCGGGCAAUUUCGCCGCAAAAAUUUUUAUACUGCGCGGCGAGCACGGUGACGGUGACGUCAGUAAGCGAGGAUCGCAGACGCUUACAGCCGCUGGACCAUGGCUUACGUAAAAAUCGCAUAAUUUUAUACCGAACUGGAUAUCCACUUCUUUGUCGAAAGCGGCACAGCGAGCGGUGACGGUAUCAAUGAAUCCGUAGGUAAAACUGAUUGAUUCGUGCUGCGGGAUGAACGCGAAUGUUAAGAUAAUCACAAAGAAAACGUAGACGCGGCUGUAUACCAGAAACCUAUAUUGGGAGUAUUAACAUACUGGAAUAUCAGCACGGUUAUCUGAGAGGGCGUUGAACAAUUUUUAACCGCAAAGACCGGUUCACCUCUUCGUACCGCGGUGCACGAAUUUCGCUAUAUAGUGACGUCUCGGACACCAUGCUCGUACAGUUUCUCAUGGCGUUUUAUAUGGACGUAAAAACGGAAGAGAUGAAGCACGAUUCAUAUAGCGGACGUCAGAACAGGAGAGGGUACGUAAGAGGGGUCCCUGAGCAACGGACGAGAAGUAAGAUCUGCACGUGUGCUUUUUUAAUCGAGCACUAAAAACAAGGUAAUAAUUAACGUUGGGCCAUAAAACACGGUAGGUAAGGUAUAUCGAUUCGAUUUUGGAGUUAAUGUAUCAUUUGUUAUUGGAGGCGUGGCGCGCAUGACCAAAAAAUAUUUUUACUAUAAUACGUGCGUGGAAUUGAUGAUAGCGAGCAAUCAAGGAUCGUCCAUUGUUCUCACUAACCUACAGCACUGUUAUUAGCAUUUUUUAGUCGUGACUGAGAUUCGGAAACAAGGCUCCUCUUUAAAUAGAUAACGAAUCGUGUACCGACGCUAAAUAAUUCUCAUCGUGCACUUUUCGUUAAUCGGUUUCUUCAUUCAAUUCUUACGCGAAAUUCGUCGCCAUUCCGCACUACCCAGCGAUUGUGAAUUUUAAAGACAAAAAUUGAAUAAUUGUUCUACCAGAACGUCCUUUCCGUGUACAAUUUUAUACUCCAUGAGAAUUUUUCUCAAUAUUGUAAAAACGUAUUCUUCUAUUUAUAUACAUACUCAAGCGUGCGAUGAACGAACAAUAUCGUCAACGUCAAUAAAAUCAGACUAGAAAGUAGAACAGUUCUUCGAAGCUCUCGAAGAGUCGGUCGAAAACCUGAGGGAAUUUUUUGUCGACUCUUCGAAAUAAAGUGGGCAAAAAUAUGUAUUAUUCCGUUAAGGAACCACGUGUAUUAUACGCUACGCAUAGUACGUUCUACGUAUGGAUCAUAACUUCAUGUUUAAAAUCUAUAGGCGGGUAUACGUGUGUAUAUUUCAUCCAAGAUAUGGUAUACGUCAGAACCGGUUAUUGAGACUUUCGAAAAUUCCAAGAUGACGUACGUAUGUGCACGAGGCAUGGAACUGCGGACACUGAACAGAGUUGUGCCAAGAUAACUUCGCGGAAACCCGUCUGGAUCUUGCGAUCACUAACAAUGCUGGGCUUCGUACUCUUACUCAUUUUAUAGGGCUCACCUGUCUCUCGCACGCUAUCGUUCAAUUAAUCGCUCUCAAUACUUAUGACGUCGGUGCGUAUGAAUUAAAUUUACAAUUGAAUCGAGUAUAAUUAACAGACAUUCACACUAACUAUAUACACCUAUCCACGACAAGAUCAUGCUCAAUCACGGAAAAAUGAAAUCAGAGAAAAUUCCGUUGUUAUCCAAGAAUGUCAAUGGCGAUAGAGAAUUCUAAUUAUUCGGUUAAAAAAAUUGAACAGCAGUAGGACAAUACUCUGAUUGUUUACGUAAGAGAUAAUUAAUAAUUAUUAUCGCAAUUGCGGAGGAUUGCCAAAGUAAUAUGUUUGCUGUGGUUCAUAGAAGUUAAUGAGGAUGAAAUGAAAGGUAACUGAUGUGACUCACUUACCUUGAAAAUUUUUUAAAUACUUUUCAAUGAAAAAGUUUUCAUUCAGUCGGAUAUCGUAAAAACGUAGAUCACAUCACGCGACACUAUAUUGACGGCAACACCAGAUGAACACGAUUAGUAGGUGGAGAUUUUUUGACGUAAUAUUGUAAACACGAAUCGUCGGACUUGACACUUUCAACGUGGAUUUAAAUCGUAUCCUAAACUACACUGACUCGAUUACUUUGAAGAAGGUAGAAUCCGGUUUCGCGAAUUCGGUUAUUGCAAUGGUGCUAUAUACAUAUUAUACAACACUCAGCCCGCGGUUUUGACGUUUAUUUCGGACUUGAAGGAAGAGAAAAAAAAAUCUAAAUAAUAACAAUAAUAAUGAGAAAAUACCGACAGCUGUUCUCUGAACUGGUUCCACACGAAUACCGUGCAGGAACUGGGUAACGAUUAAUGUACGAAUAUAUAAAUUCUCUCAAAAGGUU